This 465-nucleotide ribosomal RNA is filed under the name Vreelandella stevensii. RNAcentral's name for it is "partial 16S ribosomal RNA". It matches the Rfam family "Bacterial small subunit ribosomal RNA", at positions 338 to 795 of the family's 1533-position model. The record is from RNAcentral. Lineage: Bacteria; Pseudomonadati; Pseudomonadota; Gammaproteobacteria; Oceanospirillales; Halomonadaceae.
CAUACGGGGCGCUGCAGUGGGGAAUAUUGGACAAUGGGCGAAAGCCUGAUCCAGCCAUGCCGCGUGUGUGAAGAAGGCCUUCGGGUUGUAAAGCACUUUCAGUGGGGAAGAAAGCCUUGGGGCUAAUACCCUCGAGGAAGGACAUCACCCACAGAAGAAGCACCGGCUAACUCCGUGCCAGCAGCCGCGGUAAUACGGAGGGUGCGAGCGUUAAUCGGAAUUACUGGGCGUAAAGCGCGCGUAGGCGGUCUGAUAAGCCGGUUGUGAAAGCCCCGGGCUCAACCUGGGAACGGCAUCCGGAACUGUCAGGCUAGAGUGCAGGAGAGGAAGGUAGAAUUCCCGGUGUAGCGGUGAAAUGCGUAGAGAUCGGGAGGAAUACCAGUGGCGAAGGCGGCCUUCUGGACUGACACUGACGCUGAGGUGCGAAAGCGUGGGUAGCAAACAGGAUUAGAUACCCCAGUAGUC